UACAGAGGGGGCAAGCGUUAUUCGGAAUUAUUGGGCGUAAAGGGCGCGUAGGCGGCCUGUCAAGUGAAAGGUGAAAUCCCUCGGCUUAACCGAGGAACUGCCUUUCAGACUGCUUGGCUUGAGACCGGGAGAGGUGAGUGGAAUUCCCAGUGUAGCGGUGAAAUGCGUAGAUAUUGGGAGGAACACCGGUGGCGAAGGCGGGUCUCUGGGCAGUAACUGACGCUGAGGAGCGAAAGCGUGGGGAGCGAACAGG
Molecule: ribosomal RNA, 253 nt
Filed under: uncultured bacterium
Lineage: Bacteria
Description: partial 16S ribosomal RNA
Rfam family: Bacterial small subunit ribosomal RNA
Source: RNAcentral